This 619-nucleotide ribosomal RNA is filed under the name uncultured bacterium. RNAcentral's name for it is "bacterial SSU rRNA". It matches the Rfam family "Bacterial small subunit ribosomal RNA", at positions 338 to 944 of the family's 1533-position model. The record is from RNAcentral.
CCUACGGGAGGCAGCAGUGGGGAAUUUUGGACAAUGGGCGCAAGCCUGAUCCAGCAAUGCCGCGUGCAGGAUGAAGGCCUUCGGGUUGUAAACUGCUUUUGUACGGAACGAAACGGUCUGCUUUAAUACAGUGGGCUAAUGACGGUACCGUAAGAAUAAGCACCGGCUAACUACGUGCCAGCAGCCGCGGUAAUACGUAGGGUGCGAGCGUUAAUCGGAAUUACUGGGCGUAAAGCGUGCGCAGGCGGUUAUAUAAGACAGAUGUGAAAUCCCCGGGCUCAACCUGGGACCUGCAUUUGUGACUGUAUAGCUAGAGUACGGUAGAGGGGGAUGGAAUUCCGCGUGUAGCAGUGAAAUGCGUAGAUAUGCGGAGGAACACCGAUGGCGAAGGCAAUCCCCUGGACCUGUACUGACGCUCAUGCACGAAAGCGUGGGGAGCAAACAGGAUUAGAUACCCUGGUAGUCCACGCCCUAAACGAUGUCAACUGGUUGUUGGGUCUUCACUGACUCAGUAACGAAGCUAACGCGUGAAAGUUGACCGCCUGGGGAAGUACGGCCGCAAGGUUGAAACUUCAAAUUGAAUUGACGGCNGAGAGNGCGAGACGACACGAGGAGGAGG